UCUUCAGAUCUCCAAGAUCAAAGAGACCUUUAAUGAGUGUCUUAAAAACUUUUCUACAUGAUCCUCUGGUGGAAUGGAGUAAACCAGUGAAAGGGCAUUCCAAAGCACCACUGAAUGAAACCGGGGAAGUUGUCAAUGAAAAGGCCAAGACCCAUGUUCUUGACAUCGAGCAGCGACUGCAAGGUGUAAUCAAGACCCGAAAUAGAGUGACAGGGCUGCCGUUAUCUAUUGAAGGACAUGUGCAUUACCUUAUACAAGAAGCUACUGAUGAAAACUUACUAUGCCAGAUGUACCUUGGUUGGACUCCAUAUAUGUGAAAUGAAAUUACUUCAAAGAAUAUGUUAAUUAUCUAAAAUUAAUGCAUUUGGUAUUAAUCUGUGAUUAUAUCUAUUCAGUUCUAAAGUACAACAUAAAUAAGUUUCUUUAUGUUCUCAGAGCAACUGGUAUUAACUCCCUUAUUGUUAAUAAUAUUUAAAAUAAUAUAUGUUGUUAUUAAGAAAUAAACUUUGUUU
Molecule: long non-coding RNA, 512 nt
Organism: Herpailurus yagouaroundi (jaguarundi)
Lineage: Eukaryota; Metazoa; Chordata; Mammalia; Carnivora; Felidae
Exons: 6
Source: RefSeq, a predicted model, not a curated record